This 416-nucleotide ribosomal RNA is filed under the name uncultured microorganism. RNAcentral's name for it is "bacterial SSU rRNA". It matches the Rfam family "Archaeal small subunit ribosomal RNA", at positions 330 to 745 of the family's 1478-position model. The record is from RNAcentral.
GUGCACCAGUCGCGAAAACUUCACAAUGUGCGAAAGCACGAUGAGGGAAUCCCAAGUGCUUGCACGUAAGUGUAAGCUGUUUCUCUGUCUAAAACGCAGAGAGAGUAAGGGCUAGGGUAAGACGGGUGCCAGCCGCCGCGGUAAUACCUGCAGCUCGAGUGGUGACCGUUAUUAUUGGGCCUAAAACGUCCGUAGCCGGUUUAAUAAAUGCCUGGGUAAACCGGACCGCUUAACGGUUCGAAUUCCGGGUAGACUGUUAAACUUGAGACCGGGAGAAGUUAGAGGUACUCCUGGGGUAGAGGUGAAAUUCUGUAAUCCUAGGGGGACCACCAGUGGCGAAGGCGUCUAACUAGAACGGGUCUGACGGUGAGGGACGAAGCCCUGGGGCGCAAACGGGGAUUAGAUACCCGUGUAGU